This is a long non-coding RNA of Phyllostomus discolor (pale spear-nosed bat), 440 nucleotides long. RefSeq lists it as uncharacterized. NCBI's taxonomy places the organism in Eukaryota, Metazoa, Chordata, Mammalia, Chiroptera, Phyllostomidae. The transcript is spliced from 3 exons. The record is from RefSeq and is a predicted model, not a curated record.
AGAAACGAGGUGCCAGGCAGGAUAAAACAAGGUGGAGGACUGGAUUCGACCCCUAGGCCUUGUGUUUGCCACCUGUGACCUAUGUAGUUUGGCAUCAGUGUUGUGCCUGGGAUGCUGGUAGUGUUCUAUGCCUUGAUGUGAGUUACAUGGGUGUGUUUGUUUAUGACAAUGUGUCAAGCUGAAUACUAAUGAUAAGAUGUGUGCACGUUUCUAUGUUAUAAAGUGUUUUACCAAAAAUAAAUGAAAGACUGAGUCAUAGGCCUCCUAGGAAAACUUUUGCAGGGGACUCUUCAAGGAUGACACCCAACCAACUGAGCCACACUGGCCUGGACAGCCCACAUCAUGUCUUCUUUAGGCAGACUGACUGGGGGAAAUCUUGCCCACAGGUGUUGAUGGUGUACUUCCAUGGGAUCUCCGAGGCCACAAGAUCUUUGAUGCAG